ACGUAGGGUGCGAGCGUUGUCCGGAAUUAUUGGGCGUAAAGGGCUCGUGGGCGGUUAGUCACGUCGGGAGUGAAAACUCGGAGCUUAACUCCGAGCCUGCUUCCGAUACGGGCUGACUAGAGGUAUGCAGGGGAGAACGGAAUUCCUGGUGUAGCGGUGAAAUGCGCGGAUAUCAGGAGGAACACCGGUGGCGAAGGCGGUUCUCUGGGCAUUACCUGACGCUGAGGAGCGAAAGUGUGGGGAGCGAACAGGA
This 253-nucleotide ribosomal RNA is filed under the name uncultured prokaryote. Its description in RNAcentral is "partial 16S ribosomal RNA". It matches the Rfam family "Bacterial small subunit ribosomal RNA", at positions 525 to 777 of the family's 1533-position model. The record is from RNAcentral.